UACGGAAGGCAGCAGUGGGGAAUAUUGGACAAUGGGGGAACCCUGAUCCAGCCAUGCCGCGUGUGUGAAGAAGGCCUUAUGGUUGUAAAGCACUUUAAGCGAGGAGGAGGCUACUGAGACUAAUACUCUUGGAUAGUGGACGUUACUCGCAGAAUAAGCACCGGCUAACUCUGUGCCAGCAGCCGCGGUAAUACAGAGGGUGCGAGCGUUAAUCGGAUUUACUGGGCGUAAAGCGUGCGUAGGCGGCUUUUUUAAGUCGGAUGUGAAAUCCCCGAGCUUAACUUGGGAAUUGCAUUCGAUACUGGGAAGCUAGAGUAUGGGAGAGGAUGGUAGAAUUCCAGGUGUAGCGGUGAAAUGCGUAGAGAUCUGGAGGAAUACCGAUGGCGAAGGGCAGCCAUCUGGGCCUAAUCUGACGCUGAGGUACGAAAGCAUGGGGAGCAAACAAGGGAUUAGGAUACCCGU
This 462-nucleotide ribosomal RNA is filed under the name uncultured bacterium. Its description in RNAcentral is "bacterial SSU rRNA". It matches the Rfam family "Bacterial small subunit ribosomal RNA", at positions 340 to 790 of the family's 1533-position model. The record is from RNAcentral.